Daphnia carinata is the source of this 2144-nucleotide long non-coding RNA. RefSeq lists it as uncharacterized. The record is from RefSeq and is a predicted model, not a curated record. The transcript has 5 exons. NCBI's taxonomy places the organism in Eukaryota, Metazoa, Arthropoda, Branchiopoda, Diplostraca, Daphniidae.
UUCAUUAUUAUUGUUAUACAAAGGAACUAAAUUUUGUUGAAUUUGUAAUAAAAGAAUUAAAAAUUUUAAAAAUUUUAUGUUAAAAACCGUCCGCCAUUGUUUGUGGCGUCCUGACGCUAGAUUUGACUUGAAAAUGCCGUUCCCUGAAGAAAAUAACAAUAGACUUGUUUCGUAUAGUUUGAUCUAUGGAGUGAUCAGUGAUAAUGUUGAGAAAUCAAGGUAUAUAAUAAUAAAGUUUAAAGGUUAUAAUAUGAGAGGCAGUUUUUGUAAAUGGAAAAAGAGAAAACAAGAACUUGAAAGUGUCGUCUAAACAAAAUUAAUAGGAAAUGAGAACCCAAAAAAUCAUGAUUUCUAGCUUAUUGACCAACAUUCCAAUUGAAAGUGUAUCUACAGUUGACGAUCUCAAUAGCAAUAAGGUUGGUGUUGAACAGGAAGAAUGUCUAGCAGCUAACACCUCACACUUAACAGGGAAAAGGCUGGAUUUGUCUGAUAGAACAAUGAAAACCAAACUUAAAAGGAGUUAGAAAAAUUGAAGAAGAAGAAAUUAAAAAAGAAAAAUAACAAGAAGUGGUCCUGAAUUGCCCAACUUGCACAAGCCACCGAGGCAGCAUCAGUGUCAUCAACCUCUGAUCCCACAGAGUUUGUCAAAACAGGUAUUCCUGAACCAAGACCAACAAGUACACCGCUAACACCAAUUUUCAACAGCGAAGGCUGCCUAGUAUUCAGCAAAUUUGAUUUAGGAGAACUAUCUAAUCCCUCACCCAUUCUGAACAAGAACACUUUAGAUUGAAAAGUAGCAACGAUAAAAAAAAACUCAAAGCCAAAGUGAAAAUCUUGGAUGGCCAAGCUGAAGUUGGAAUGUGAGAAGUAUUGAAGAGAAACAGGCAUGAAAAGAUGCUUUGCAAACAGCUGAAGGUUUUCAGGUAAAAAACAAUGUGGAAUGGCUUGCUAAAUCUAUUAUGAAACAAGAUGAAAUCAAAUCAGAUAGUAAAAAGAAGUUGGCUGAACGCAUCGAAGAAUAGGAAAAGAGAAAGGAAUAACAACAGAAAACGAGAAAAGCCAACAUUAAGAAAAAGAAAACUGAGAAGAAAGAACAUAAACUGAAUGAACGCCUCACACUUAACAGGGGAAAAGCUGGAAUUGUCUGAUAAGACAACGAAAAUCCAAUUUAAACGGAAGUUAGAGGGAAUGAAGAAGAAAUUAAAAAGAAAAAGUAAGAAGAAGAGGUCCUGAAUUGCCAAACAUGCUCGAGCCACCAAGGCAGUAUCUGUGUCAUCAACCUCUGGUCUUUCAGAGUUUGUUAAAACAGAAAUUCCUCAACCAAGACUAGCAAGUACACUGGCAACACCAAUUUUUAACAGUGAAGGCUGCCUAGUUUCCAGCAAAUGUGAUUUUGGAGAACUAUCUAAUUCCUCACCCAUUCUGAAAAAGACCACUUUAUAUCCAGAAGUGGCAACGAUUAAAAUGAAAGAAAAUAAAACUUAAACCAAAAAUGAAUAUCUUGGUAGGCCAAGCUGAAGCUGAGAAUGCAAGAAGCAUUGAAGAAAAACAGGCAUGAAAUGGUGCUCUGCAAAUAGCUGAAGGUUUUCAGGUAAAAGACUAUGUGGAAUUGCUUGCCAAAUCAAUUAAUGAACGAGAUCAAAUCAGAAAGUAACAUAAAUUGCGCUGAACGAAUCGAAGAAAAGGAAAAGAGAAAGGAAUAACAACAGAAAAAGAGAAAAGCCAACAUUAAGAAAAAUAAAACUGAAAAGAAAGAACAUAAAGUGAAUAAACUAAAGAAAAAAGGCAAAUUUACCGUAUGAAAGACUGAUACUGACUCAUGGAUGAGCUAAACUCUUGUUCUUUCAUGUGCAGCCAUGUCGUGAUAGUUUUAUAGAAAAAUACACUGGCAUGCCUUCCAUGAUCGUGGAAAAUUUGAAGAAAAAAUAUCUUAGAUUCAUUUAAAAAGGUUUAGUGUCUUCACUAAUAACAGACUCAUUUAAAAAAAAAGUCCGUCAUGGUAGAAAAUUGAUUUGUCAUUAUUAGUAGCUUUGUUAACGUAAAGUGUAAAGCUUCCUUAUAUCUCAAUGUAUUAUGUGAUGUGUAAUUAGGUAAUCAAUAGCUGCUUGAAAAUGUGCAAAAGGUGAAAACAGGACACGAAGAAC